GCGGGAUUGGUAUAAUGGUAGCACACGACCUUGCCAUGGUUGAAACAGGGGUUCGAUUCCCCUAUCCCGCUCCA
This 74-nucleotide transfer RNA is filed under the name candidate division SR1 bacterium. Its description in RNAcentral is "tRNA-Gly". It matches the Rfam family "tRNA". From Rfam's summary of the family: Transfer RNA (tRNA) molecules are approximately 80 nucleotides in length. Their secondary structure includes four short double-helical elements and three loops (D, anti-codon, and T loops). The record is from RNAcentral. Lineage: Bacteria; Candidatus Absconditibacteriota.